This 348-nucleotide transfer-messenger RNA is filed under the name Sphingomonas sp. It matches the Rfam family "Alphaproteobacteria transfer-messenger RNA". Rfam says of the family: Bacterial tmRNA, also known as 10Sa RNA or SsrA, is named for its dual tRNA and mRNA-like properties. Lineage: Bacteria; Pseudomonadati; Pseudomonadota; Alphaproteobacteria; Sphingomonadales; Sphingomonadaceae. The record is from RNAcentral.
GGGCUUUUCAUCGGCGUCCGCGUCUCUAUAUAGGAACUCGCCGGGUUCGCCCGGCUAUGGCGAUAAAUUGCGGCGUGCAAUAGAUGCAGCGGACCCGGGGGCAGUACCCGGCGGCUCCACCACAAGUGGUGGUGUAUCUGGACACCGUUUCUGACGGGGCCGAACCAGGAUCGACGUGUAUUGAAAAGCGCUGUUUUUGCCCGGAAUGGGACCACCGCAACGGCCCAUAUCACAAGUGCCAACGAUAACGAGGCGCUCGCGAUUGCGGCCUAACCACAUGGCCUAACGGCCUAGGUUAGAACGACAAAAGCGCGGUUGGACCGCACCGGGCAACAGAAGCGGAUUCCA